This 534-nucleotide ribosomal RNA is filed under the name uncultured bacterium. Its description in RNAcentral is "bacterial SSU rRNA". It matches the Rfam family "Bacterial small subunit ribosomal RNA", at positions 777 to 1304 of the family's 1533-position model. The record is from RNAcentral.
AAUAGAUACCCGGUAGUCCACGCCGUAAACGGUGGACACUAGGUGUGGGCGACAUUCCACGUCGUCCGUGCCGCAGCUAACGCAUUAAGUGCCCCGCCUGGGGAGUACGGCCGCAAGGCUAAAACUCAAAGGAAUUGACAGGGGCCCGCACAAGCGGCGGAGCAUGUGGCUUAAUUCGACGCAACGCGAAGAACCUUACCAAGGCUUGACAUACACCGGAAACGUCCAGAGAUGGGCGCCCCCUUGUGGUCGGUGUACAGGUGGUGCAUGGCUGUCGUCAGCUCGUGUCGUGAGAUGUUGGGUUAAGUCCCGCAACGAGCGCAACCCUUGUCCCGUGUUGCCAGCAGGCCCUUGUGGUGCUGGGGACUCACGGGAGACCGCCGGGGUCAACGUCGGAGGAAGGUGGGGACGACGUCAAGUCAUCAUGCCCCUUAUGUCUUGGGCUGCACACGUGCUACAAUGGCCGGUACAAUGAGCUGCGAUACCGCGAGGUGGAGCGAAUCUCAAAAAGCCGGUCUCAGUUCGGAUUGGGGU